RNAcentral lists this long non-coding RNA (411 nucleotides) under Marmota monax (woodchuck). The record is from RNAcentral. Lineage: Eukaryota; Metazoa; Chordata; Mammalia; Rodentia; Sciuridae.
GGAGCUGCAGGGAGUGAGCGAGAGGAGGAUAGGAAAGAGGAGAGAGGGAGAGCUUGAGGGAGAAGGGGGCUCGCUGUGUUUACACCAGACACAGGCUUCGAGCGUCCAUCCCGGACUCUGACUCGCGCUCUCCAAGUGGAGAGCUAAGCUGUUCUGGGAUCCGUCCAUCGUGUGGCAGGAGCCUCAUCUGUCCUGGUUGCGGGAGCUGGGAGAGCCCAGAGGGAAACCGAGGGAAGCAAGCGGCGCGUAUUACUAGAGAGCGCGAGCAGAAGGGGUCGAGAGCCAAGCGUGUGAGGGAGCAUCAAGCGCGGCGGAGACAUGAGGACCUACUGGCUGCACAGCGUCUGGGUGCUGGGCUUCUUCCUGUCCCUCUUCUCAUUGCAAGGUAAGGGGGGAUUCCCUAACCCCUCG